Molecule: ribosomal RNA, 380 nt
Filed under: uncultured eukaryote
Lineage: Eukaryota
Description: partial 18S ribosomal RNA
Rfam family: Eukaryotic small subunit ribosomal RNA
Source: RNAcentral
CAAUAGCGUAUAUUAAAGUUGUUGCGGUUAAAAAGCUCGUAGUUGGAUUUCUGCUGAGAACGACCGGUCCGCCCUCUGGGUGUGUAUCUGGCUCUUUCUUGGCAUCUUCUUGGUGAACGUUGCUGCACUUGACUGUGUGGAGCGCUACCCAGGACUUUUACUUUGAGGAAAUUAGAGUGUUUCAAGCAGGCAUACGCCUUGAAUACAUUAGCAUGGAAUAAUAAGAUAGGACCUCGGUUCUAUUUUGUUGGUUUCUAGAGCUGAGGUAAUGAUUAAUAGGGAUAGUUGGGGGCAUUCGUAUUUAACUGUCAGAGGUGAAAUUCUCGGAUUUGUUAAAGACGGACUACUGCGAAAGCAUUUGCCAAGGAUGUUUUCAUUGA